GGCUUAUUAAGAGGAAAAGAGAAGUUGGAGCAGGGGUCACAGAACAUCUUGAGGCCAGUAAAGGAAGUGGGAGAGAGUGCCUUGCCUGCAGUCUCACUGCCCCGUGGAUGGACCAAAUAGGCCUGAUUUGAUCUCUAGCAGAAUGAAUGAGUUAGUAGAGGAAUGGACAGAAGUCUUUGGAACAGGCUCCUAUCAACAGAACAUUACUCUAGA
Molecule: non-coding RNA, 213 nt
Organism: Peromyscus maniculatus bairdii (prairie deer mouse)
Lineage: Eukaryota; Metazoa; Chordata; Mammalia; Rodentia; Cricetidae
Source: RefSeq, a predicted model, not a curated record